This 450-nucleotide ribosomal RNA is filed under the name uncultured bacterium. Its description in RNAcentral is "partial 16S ribosomal RNA". It matches the Rfam family "Bacterial small subunit ribosomal RNA", at positions 338 to 795 of the family's 1533-position model. The record is from RNAcentral.
CCUACGGGGGGCUGCAGUGAGGAAUAUUGGACAAUGGAUGGAAAUCUGAUCCAGCCAUGCCGCGUGCAGGAAGACAGCCCUAUGGGUUGUAAACUGCUUUUAUAUGGGAGCAAUAAGGUCUACGUGUAGACUGAUGAGAGUACCAUAUGAAUAAGCAUCGGCUAACUCCGUGCCAGCAGCCGCGGUAAUACGGAGGAUGCGAGCGUUAUCCGGUUUUAUUGGGUUUAAAGGGUGCGUGGGCGGCAGAGUAGAAAUUUUGCAGAUUAACUGUAACAGUGCCGUUGAUACUGCAUGGCUAGGAUUUGGUUGCUGUGGGUGGAAUGUGUGGUGUAGCGGUGAAAUGCUUAGAUAUCACACAGAAUAUCGAUUGCGAAGGCAGCUCACAAAGCCAAGAUUGACGCUGAGGUACGAAAGUGUGGGGAUCAAACAGGAUUAGAUACCCCUGUAGUC